This 210-nucleotide long non-coding RNA is filed under the name Apteryx owenii (little spotted kiwi). RNAcentral's name for it is "lncRNA (ENSAOWG00000000290.1)". The record is from RNAcentral. Lineage: Eukaryota; Metazoa; Chordata; Aves; Apterygiformes; Apterygidae.
CUCAGGAUGAGAAGCAAAGAACCACAGGCAGCCUGAUCAUCUUCUGGAACUAUGAGACCUCUCACAAGAAAUGAACAAUCUCAGCAUGCAGGAGUCACUUUCACCUGUCCAUUUUAUUCUGGACAUUCUUUACAGCCUGGCUGAACUGCUAGUGAAGUCAAGGCCUUUUUCUCCUUUCCUGUAGACCAUCUCCACUGAAUGAGGCAGUUG